This 2875-nucleotide ribosomal RNA is filed under the name Cereibacter sphaeroides. RNAcentral describes it as "bacterial LSU rRNA". It matches the Rfam family "Bacterial large subunit ribosomal RNA". Lineage: Bacteria; Pseudomonadati; Pseudomonadota; Alphaproteobacteria; Rhodobacterales; Paracoccaceae. The record is from RNAcentral.
GAUCAGAUCAAGCGCGAAAAGGGCGUUUGGUGGAUGCCUAGGCAGCAAGAGGCGAUGAAGGACGUGAUACCCUGCGUUAAGCCAUGGGGAGCCGGGAAUGGGCUUCGAUCCAUGGAUGUCCGAAUGGGGAAACCCACCUGAUUGUUCGUUGUUGUCCUACCGCUUCGCUACUUGAGGACUUGUCCGACAGUAGCAAGCGCGGGAUCAUCAAUGGGCAAAGACAGGUAUCAUUACCCUGAAUACAUAGGGGUUUUGAAGCGAACCCGGGGAACUGAAACAUCUAAGUACCCGGAGGAAAGGAAAUCAACAGAGACUCCGCUAGUAGUGGCGAGCGAACGCGGACCAGCCGAUCUCCGAAGAGUGACUGGAAUGGCCUGGAAAGGCCAGCCACAGCGGGUGACAGCCCCGUACAGGAAGCUCCAGGAGACAUAUCAAGUAGGGCGGGACACGUGAAAUCCUGUCUGAAGAUCGGGGGACCACCCCCGAAGGCUAAGUACUCCUUGCUGACCGAUAGCGAACCAGUACCGUGAGGGAAAGGUGAAAAGCACCCCGACGAGGGGAGUGAAACAGUACCUGAAACCGGACGCCUACAAGCAGUCGGAGGGUCCAUGAGACCUGACGGCGUACCUUUUGUAUAAUGGGUCAACGACUUGGUCUCACGAGCAAGCUUAAGCCGGUAGGUGGAGGCGCAGCGAAAGCGAGUCUUAAAAGGGCGUCGAGUUCGUGGGAUCAGACCCGAAACCAGGUGAUCUAGCCAUGAGCAGGAUGAAGUCAGGGUAACACCUGAUGGAGGUCCGAACCAACACCCGUUGAAAAGGGUCUGGAUGACUUGUGGCUAGGGGUGAAAGGCCAAUCAAACCUGGAGAUAGCUGGUUCUCCGCGAAAGCUAUUUAGGUAGCGCCUCGGACGAAUACCUCGGGGGGUAGAGCACUGCAUGGAUGAUGGGGGCCCACAGCCUUACUGAGUCUAAGCAAACUCCGAAUACCCGAGAGUACUAUCCGGGAGACACACGGCGGGUGCUAACGUCCGUCGUGAAGAGGGAAACAACCCUGACCUGCAGCUAAGGCCCCCAAUUCGUGGCUAAGUGGGAAAGCAUGUGGGACGGCCAAAACAACCAGGAGGUUGGCUUAGAAGCAGCCAUCCUUUAAAGAUAGCGUAACAGCUCACUGGUCUAGAUAAGCUGUCCUGCGGCGAAGAUGUAACGGGGCUCAAGCCACGAGCCGAAGCUCAGGAUGCACAGCAAUGUGCGUGGUAGCGGAGCGUUCCGUGAUAUAGCUCCAUGUCUCUUCAUCCCUCGGAUGCGGAGACAAGGAGCUUUCUGUGAAGCCGGGCCGUAAGGCAUCCGGUGGAGAGAUCGGAAGCGAGAAUGUUGACAUGAGUAGCGACAAACAGGGUGAGAGACCCUGUCGCCGAAAGUCCAAGGGUUCCUGCUUAAAGCUAAUCUGAGCAGGGUAAGCCGGCCCCUAAGGCGAGGCCGAAAGGCGUAGUCGAUGGGAACCAGGUUAAUAUUCCUGGGCCAGGAGGAUGUGACGGAUCGCAGGUGUAGUUCGGUCUUAUCGGAUUGACCGGGCUGCUGAGCGGUCCCUGGAAAUAGCCCUCCAUCAGACCGUACCCCAAACCGACACAGGUGGACUGGUAGAGAAUACCAAGGCGCUUGAGAGAACCACAUCAAAGGAACUCGGCAAAAUGCCUCCGUAAGUUCGCGAGAAGGAGGCCCCGUCUGUAGGCAACUAUGGGCGGGGGGCACAAACUAGGGGGUGGCGACUGUUUACUUAAAACACAGGGCUGUGCGAAGCCGCAAGGCGACGUAUACAGUCUGACGCCUGCCCGGUGCUGGAAGGUUAAAAGGAGGAGUGCAAGCUCCGAAUUGAAGCCCCAGUAAACGGCGGCCGUAACUAUAACGGUCCUAAGGUAGCGAAAUUCCUUGUCGGGUAAGUUCCGACCUGCACGAAUGGCGUAACGAUCUCCCCGCUGUCUCUGAUGUGGACUCAGCGAAAUUGAACUGUGUGUCAAGAUGCACACUUCCCGCGGUUAGACGGAAAGACCCCAUGAACCUUUACUAUAGCUUCGCACUGGCAUCAGGAUUGUGAUGUGCAGGAUAGGUGGUAGGCAUCGAAGCGGGGACGCCAGUUCCCGUGGAGCCAACCUUGAGAUACCACCCUUCGCCAUCUUGAUGUCUAACCGCGGCCCGUUAUCCGGGUCCGGGACCCUGCGUGGUGGGUAGUUUGACUGGGGCGGUCGCCUCCCAAACAGUAACGGAGGCGCGCGAUGGUGGGCUCAGACCGGUCGGAAAUCGGUCGUCGAGUGCAAUGGCAGAAGCCCGCCUGACUGCAAGACUGACAAGUCGAGCAGAGACGAAAGUCGGCCAUAGUGAUCCGGUGGUCCCGAGUGGAAGGGCCAUCGCUCAACGGAUAAAAGGUACUCUGGGGAUAACAGGCUGAUGAUGCCCAAGAGUCCAUAUCGACGGCAUCGUUUGGCACCUCGAUGUCGGCUCAUCUCAUCCUGGGGCUGGAGCAGGUCCCAAGGGUAUGGCUGUUCGCCAUUUAAAGAGGUACGUGAGCUGGGUUUAGAACGUCGUGAGACAGUUCGGUCCCUAUCUGCCGUGGGUGUAGGAGACUUGAGAAGAGUUGCCCCUAGUACGAGAGGACCGGGGUGAACGAUCCACUGGUGGACCAGUUGUCGUGCCAACGGCAGUGCUGGGUAGCUAUGAUCGGACAGGAUAACCGCUGAAGGCAUCUAAGCGGGAAGCCCCCUUCAAAACAAGGUCUCCCUUGAGGGCCGUGGAAGACCACCACGUCGAUAGGCCAGAGGUGUAAGCGCAGCAAUGCGUUCAGCUGACUGGUACUAAUUGCCCGAUAGGCUUGAUCUGACCCGG